RNAcentral lists this ribosomal RNA (493 nucleotides) under uncultured bacterium. Its description in RNAcentral is "partial 16S ribosomal RNA". It matches the Rfam family "Bacterial small subunit ribosomal RNA", at positions 29 to 523 of the family's 1533-position model. The record is from RNAcentral.
AUUGAACGCUGGCGGCAUGCUUUACACAUGCAAGUCGAACGGUAACAGGUUAAGCUGACGAGUGGCGAACGGGUGAGUAAUGCAUCGGAACGUGCCCGGUCGUGGGGGAUAACGCAGCGAAAGCUGCGCUAAUACCGCAUACGAUCUGAGGAUGAAAGCGGGGGACCGUAAGGCCUCGCGCGAUCGGAGCGGCCGAUGUCAGAUUAGGUAGUUGGUGGGGUAAAGGCUCACCAAGCCAACGAUCUGUAGCUGGUCUGAGAGGACGACCAGCCACACUGGGACGAAGACACGGCCCAGACUCCUACGGGAGGCAGCAGUGGGGAAUUUUGGACAAUGGGCGAAAGCCUGAUCCAGCAAUGCCGCGUGCAGGAAGAAGGCCUUCGGGUUGUAAACUGCUUUUGUACGGAGCGAAAAGGUCUCCUCUAAUACAGGAGGCUCAUGACGGUACCGUAAGAAUAAGCACCGGCUAACUACGUGCCAGCCGCCGCAGUAA